AUUGAACGCUGGCGGCAUGCCUUACACAUGCAAGUCGAACGGCAGCACGGGUGGUUCUUCCUGGUGGCGAGUGGCGGACGGGUGCGUAUUAGAUCGGAACAUGUCCCGACGUGGUGGAUAGCGCGGCGAAAGCCGGAUUUAUACUGCAUACGCAUAACGGCUGAGAGUGGGAGACGUUCAGGUUUCGAGCUUUCGCGUUGGCCGAUGGCGAUGUCGGAUUUGCUAGUUGGUGGGGUAAAGGCCCACCAAGGCGACGAUCCGUAGCUGGUCUGAGAGGACGACCAGCCACACUGGGACUGAGACACGGCCCAGACUCCUACGGGAGGCAGCAGUGGGGAAUUUUGGACAAUGGGCGAAAGCCUGAUCCAGCAAUGCCGCGUGUGUGAAGAAGGCCUUCGGGUUGUAAAGCACUUUUGUCCGGAAAGAAAACCUUGACUCUAAUACAGUCGGGGGAUGACGGUACCGAAAGAAUAAGCACCGGCUAACUACGUG
RNAcentral lists this ribosomal RNA (492 nucleotides) under uncultured bacterium. RNAcentral describes it as "partial 16S ribosomal RNA". It matches the Rfam family "Bacterial small subunit ribosomal RNA", at positions 30 to 507 of the family's 1533-position model. The record is from RNAcentral.